RNAcentral lists this long non-coding RNA (239 nucleotides) under Linum usitatissimum (flax). Its description in RNAcentral is "long non-coding RNA (LUSI_LNC002332)". The record is from RNAcentral. Lineage: Eukaryota; Viridiplantae; Streptophyta; Magnoliopsida; Malpighiales; Linaceae.
CCUUCCGCUCCUCAAUCAAAUCGGUCUUCCUCAAUCUCUCUGUGUUUUCAAUUUCAUCUUCUGUUGACGGAUUCUGCUUCUUCCUUAUGAUCUAACCUACUACCCCCCAUCUGCUUGUUUUUUAAGCUUUGAUUGUAUCUGUUCGUGAUCAUAACUUGGUCUGAUCCACUGAAAUUACCAGGUUCUGGUGACGACACAUCUGCCGUUGAUUUUGCUUCUCGGGUUUCUUUGCAUCCCAA